GGGAUCUUUGGUUUUGAAUCUGGAGAUUUUGGUGUUCCGAUACUACCCUUCAAGGAUUCUGUAUUGCCUGCAAACUGAUUGUAUAAUAAUUAGUAGUCAUGAUCUAAUGGUAGGAAACUGCAUGGUUCUGAAACGUCAUCAUAGUAACAUACCCGUGAAAGAGGUUGGACAAUGGGUAUCUCUCGUUGAACCACUAGUUGCGAGGCAUUCGCUUCCAUUUCUAGAGAAGGGAACAGAGGCGUUGCUGGCGG
Molecule: unclassified non-coding RNA, 251 nt
Filed under: Hevea brasiliensis (rubber tree)
Lineage: Eukaryota; Viridiplantae; Streptophyta; Magnoliopsida; Malpighiales; Euphorbiaceae
Source: RNAcentral